UGGGGAAUAUUGGACAAUGGGCGAAAGCCUGAUCCAGCCAUGCCGCGUGAGUGAUGAAGGCCCUCGGGUCGUAAAGCUCUGUGGAGAGGGAAGAACCCGUUCAGCAUCAGAUCCUGAACGUUGACGGUACCUCUUUAGCAAGCACCGGCUAACUCCGUGCCAGCAGCCGCGGUAAUACGGAGGGUGCAAACGUUGCUCGGAAUCAUUGGGCGUAAAGCGCACGUAGGCGGACUGCUAAGUCGGAUGUGAAAGCCCUCGGCUUAACCGAGGAAGUGCAUUCGAAACUGACAGUCUUGAGUAUGGAAGAGGGUCGCGGAAUUCCCGGUGUAGAGGUGAAAUUCGUAGAUAUCGGGAGGAACACCAGUGGCGAAGGCGGCGACCUGGGCCAAUACUGACGCUGAGGUGCGAAAGCGUGGGGAGCAAACAGG
Molecule: ribosomal RNA, 428 nt
Filed under: uncultured bacterium
Lineage: Bacteria
Description: bacterial SSU rRNA
Rfam family: Bacterial small subunit ribosomal RNA
Source: RNAcentral